Molecule: ribosomal RNA, 320 nt
Filed under: uncultured Vexilliferidae
Lineage: Eukaryota; Discosea; Flabellinia; Dactylopodida; Vexilliferidae
Description: partial Bacterial large subunit ribosomal RNA
Rfam family: Bacterial large subunit ribosomal RNA
Source: RNAcentral
AGUGGUACGUGAGCUGGGUUCAGACCGUCGUGAGACAGGUCGGUCCCUAUCUGCUGUGGGCGUACGAAACUUGAGGAGAUUCUUCUUUAGUACGAGAGGAUUUGGAAGGACGUUCCUCUGGUGUCCCAGUUGUCAUGCCCGUGGCACGGCUGGAUAGCUAUGAACGGAAAGGAUAAACGCUGAAAGCAUCUAAGCGUGAAGCCCGCUCCAAGAUUAGGUUUCGUAAGUACUUUGUACGAGAGUCCCCUGGAAGACGACCAGGUUGAUAGGCCAGAUGUGUAAGCUCAGUAAUGAGUUCAGCUAACUGGUACUAACGGACG